Molecule: small nuclear RNA, 107 nt
Organism: Cricetulus griseus (Chinese hamster)
Lineage: Eukaryota; Metazoa; Chordata; Mammalia; Rodentia; Cricetidae
Source: Ensembl
GUGCUUGUCUCAGCAGCACAUAUACUAAAAUUGGAAUUACACAGAGAAGAUUAGCACAGCUCCUUCGCAAGGGUGGCAUGCAAAUUUGGAUAGCAUUCUAUAUUUUU